Molecule: non-coding RNA, 129 nt
Organism: Hypoxylon crocopeplum
Lineage: Eukaryota; Fungi; Ascomycota; Sordariomycetes; Xylariales; Hypoxylaceae
Source: the annotation of a GenBank genome assembly
GCCCGGUUAGCUCAAUCGGUAGAGCGUGAGACUCUUAAUCUCAAGGUUGCGGGUAAGUUCCAUAAUCCUCUGCGAUUGUGGUACACGUGAUGCUAACAAUCAUCAAAGGUUCGACCCCCGCAUCGGGCU